UACAGAGGGUGCGAGCGUUGUCCGGAAUCACUGGGCGUAAAGGGCGCGUAGGCGGUCUCUUAAGCGUGUGGUGAAAGCCCGGGGCUCAACUCCGGGUCGGCCGUGCGAACUGGGGGACUGGAGCUUGUCAGAGGCAGGCGGAAUUCCGGGUGUAGCGGUGGAAUGCGUAGAGAUCCGGAAGAACACCGGUGGCGAAGGCGGCCUGCUGGGACAGUGCUGACGCUGAGGCGCGAAAGCGUGGGGAGCGAACAGG
This 253-nucleotide ribosomal RNA is filed under the name uncultured bacterium. RNAcentral's name for it is "partial 16S ribosomal RNA". It matches the Rfam family "Bacterial small subunit ribosomal RNA", at positions 524 to 776 of the family's 1533-position model. The record is from RNAcentral.